This 773-nucleotide ribosomal RNA is filed under the name uncultured Streptococcus sp. Its description in RNAcentral is "bacterial SSU rRNA". It matches the Rfam family "Bacterial small subunit ribosomal RNA", at positions 28 to 776 of the family's 1533-position model. The record is from RNAcentral. Lineage: Bacteria; Bacillati; Bacillota; Bacilli; Lactobacillales; Streptococcaceae.
GACGAACGCUGGCGGCGUGCCUAAUACAUGCAAGUAGAACGCACAGGAUGCACCGUAGUUUACUACACCGUAUUCUGUGAGUUGCGAACGGGUGAGUAACGCGUAGGUAACCUGCCUGGUAGCGGGGGAUAACUAUUGGAAACGAUAGCUAAUACCGCAUAAGAACAUUUACUGCAUGGUAGAUGUUUAAAAGGUGCAAAUGCAUCACUACCAGAUGGACCUGCGUUGUAUUAGCUAGUUGGUGAGGUAACGGCUCACCAAGGCAACGAUACAUAGCCGACCUGAGAGGGUGAUCGGCCACACUGGGACUGAGACACGGCCCAGGCUCCUACGGGAGGCAGCAGUAGGGAAUCUUCGGCAAUGGGGGGAACCCUGACCGAGCAACGCCGCGUGAGUGAAGAAGGUUUUCGGAUCGUAAAGCUCUGUUGUUAAGGAAGGACGUGUGUGAGAGUGGAAAGUUCACACAGUGACGGUACUUAACCAGAAGGGGACGGCUAACUACGUGCCAGCAGCCGCGGUAAUACGUAGGUCCCGAGCGUUGUCCGGAUUUAUUGGGCGUAAAGCGAGCGCAGGCGGUUAGAUAAGUCUGAAGUGAAAGGCAGUGGCUCAACCAUUGUAGGCUUUGGAAACUGUUUAACUUGAGUGCAGAAGGGGAGAGUGGAAUUCCAUGUGUAGCGGUGAAAUGCGUAGAUAUAUGGAGGAACACCGGUGGCGAAAGCGGCUCUCUGGUCUGUAACUGACGCUGAGGCUCGAAAGCGUGGGGAGCGAACAGG